UAGAUUCAUUGUCUGGUCAGAAGAGGAAGU
This 30-nucleotide non-coding RNA is filed under the name Rattus norvegicus (Norway rat). The record is from RNAcentral. Lineage: Eukaryota; Metazoa; Chordata; Mammalia; Rodentia; Muridae.